Long non-coding RNA from Balaenoptera acutorostrata (minke whale), 365 nucleotides. RefSeq lists it as uncharacterized. Lineage: Eukaryota; Metazoa; Chordata; Mammalia; Artiodactyla; Balaenopteridae. The transcript has 3 exons. The record is from RefSeq and is a predicted model, not a curated record.
GACAAAUUGCAACCUGUACGGAACAGGAGGUUAAAGGUGCUGAUUCUCCAAGGAGGGAGAUUGCUAGUAAAGCGGCUGGAAUGGCCAACCCGAGCACAAGGAGAUGAGAAAUGAGGACAAAUUGCCACCUGUACGGAACAGGAGGUUAAAGGUGCUGAUUCUCCAAGGAGGGAGAUUGCUAGUAAAGCGGCUGGAAUGGCGAACCCGAGCACAAGGAGAUGAGAAAUGAGAAAUCCAGGAGCUGAAAGAGAGGUAUCAUUUUCAAUGGAAAAUCAUUCAAAACAAGAUUGAACCUUCAGCCAAGAUUAGUAGAUCCACAUCCUUGGAAAGAAAUCACUGCAUUUCUCUAAUGUUGGCCUGACAAA